CGCGUAUGCAACCUACCUUUGACUGGAGGAUAGCCCGGAGAAAUUCGGAUUAAUACUCCAUAAUAUCAUCAUGAGGCAUCUUAAGAUGAUUAAAGAUUUAUUGGUCAAAGAUGGGCAUGCGUGACAUUAGCUGGUUGGUGAGGUAACGGCUCACCAAGGCGACGAUGUCUAGGGGUUCUGAGAGGAUUGUCCCCCACACUGGUACUGAGACACGGACCAGACUCCUACGGGAGGCAGCAGUGAGGAAUAUUGGUCAAUGGACGCAAGUCUGAACCAGCCAUGCCGCGUGCAGGAUGACGGCCCUAUGGGUUGUAAACUGCUUUUAUACGGGAAGAAACCUUCGUACGUGUACGGAGCUGACAGUACCGUAAGAAUAAGCACCGGCUAACUCCGUGCCAGCAGCCGCGGUAUUACGGAGGGUGCAAGCGUUAUCCGGAUUUAUUGGGUUUAAAGGGUGCGCAGGCGGAAUAGUAAGUCAGUGGUGAAA
This 487-nucleotide ribosomal RNA is filed under the name uncultured Bacteroidota bacterium. RNAcentral describes it as "bacterial SSU rRNA". It matches the Rfam family "Bacterial small subunit ribosomal RNA", at positions 114 to 599 of the family's 1533-position model. Lineage: Bacteria; Pseudomonadati; Bacteroidota. The record is from RNAcentral.